This 502-nucleotide ribosomal RNA is filed under the name uncultured Glomeromycotina. RNAcentral's name for it is "partial small subunit ribosomal RNA". It matches the Rfam family "Eukaryotic small subunit ribosomal RNA", at positions 591 to 1092 of the family's 1831-position model. The record is from RNAcentral. Lineage: Eukaryota; Fungi; Glomeromycota.
CCAAUAGCGUAUAUUAAAGUUGUUGCAGUUAAAAAGCUCGUAGUUGAACUUCGGGAUUCGUCCAUUGGUCAGGCUUAACUGUCUGUACUGGUGUGUCGGAUUUCUACCUUCUGAAGAACCUUCAUGCCAUUAAUUUGGUGUGUUGGGGAAUCAGGACUGUUACUUUGAAAAAAUUAGAGUGUUUAAAGCAGGCUUACGUCUGAAUACAUUAGCAUGGAAUAAUGAAAUAGGACGGUACGGUUCUAUUUUGUUGGUUUCUAGGAUCGCCGUAAUGAUUAAUAGGGAUAGUUGGGGGCAUUAGUAUUCAAUUGUCAGAGGUGAAAUUCUUGGAUUUAUUGAAGACUAACUACUGCGAAAGCAUUUGCCAAGGAUGUUUUCAUUAAUCAAGAACGAAAGUUAGGGGAUCGAAGACGAUCAGAUACCGUCGUAGUCUUAACCAUAAACUAUGCCGACUAGGGAUCGGACGAUGUUAAUUUUUUAAUGACUCGUUCGGCACCUUACG